RNAcentral lists this ribosomal RNA (433 nucleotides) under uncultured bacterium. RNAcentral's name for it is "partial 16S ribosomal RNA". It matches the Rfam family "Bacterial small subunit ribosomal RNA", at positions 29 to 507 of the family's 1533-position model. The record is from RNAcentral.
AACGAGCGCUGGCGGCAUGCCUAACACAUGCAAGUCGAACGAGACCUUCGGGUCUAGUGGCGCACGGGUGCGUAACGCGUGGGAACCUGCCCUUAGGUUCGGAAUAACUCCCCGAAAGGGGUGCUAAUACCGGAUAAUGUCUUCGGACCAAAGAUUUAUCGCCUUUGGAUGGGCCCGCGUUGGAUUAGCUAGUUGGUAGGGUAAAAGCCUACCAAGGCGACGAUCCAUAGCUGGUCUGAGAGGAUGAUCAGCCACACUGGGACUGAGACACGGCCCAGACUCCUACGGGAGGCAGCAGUGGGGAAUAUUGGACAAUGGGCGAAAACCUGAUCCAGCAAUGCCGCGUGAGUGAUGAAGGCCUUAGGGUUGUAAAGCUCUUUUACCCGGGAUGAUAAUGACAGUACCGGGAGAAUAAGCUCCGGCUAACUCCGUG